AGAUCCCCUUAUCCAGGCCGCCUUUGGAAACCAGCCCACCUGCUACACAACCUUUUCCCAACACCGUGCUCCCACCCCUACCUCCGCUGCUGAAAAACCGCAUUGUGUGGGGGUCUGGAAUCUUCUGGACUCCUGGGAGCCCAAUCCGCUUGCCUCUUGUACCCCUCUUGCAGAGCAAUGAGCCGAUGGGGUGCCAGGCAUUAGAAACCUUCCCUCCAAUCCUCACCAUGUCUCCAUUUUGCCAAAGAAGAAACUGAGGUUAAGGUCGCGAUGCUCUGGCCAGCAUCACAGGUAAACGAUUUUGGCAGUGCCCGGAGAAGGAUAGAAGUAAGACCCAAAGAGGAACUUUCCGCAUGUUAUGGGAGAGCCCGUGGGGCGAGGAGGCGAGGGCAGCCUUCCCCAGGCCAAGGGAGCAGCCAUCGCUCUUGGAUCUGUUUUUCCUCAAGCGUCUGUCCUGUGGGGCCUAGUCCCCAGCCGCUGUCCUGGACCUAAUGGGAGAAGGGGCUGGGGGAAGAGAGCGCACCCCCAGCCCGGGACCCACGGCAGCCCUAGCCAGUCCCCCACUCUCUCCCUCUUUAGGGGCCUCUCUCUGAGAUCGGGUCCUUCUCCUGCAGGGCAGCAGAGUGGAAGCCAGGGCCUGGGACCCUCUGGUUGGGCAAGGAGGGACUGGAGUCCGGCUCCCGGCGACCCCGUCCCCAGUGCCAGCGGCGGGGUCGCCCGUGGCGGCCCGGACAGGCC
RNAcentral lists this non-coding RNA (738 nucleotides) under Pongo abelii (Sumatran orangutan). Lineage: Eukaryota; Metazoa; Chordata; Mammalia; Primates; Hominidae. The record is from RNAcentral.